ACCGGCAGCUAGCUCUCUGCUACUCUGACAUGGUUGCCCAUUGAAGCUAAGCAGGGCUGCUCCUGGUCAGUACCUGGAUGGGAGACUAUAUGGGAAUGCUAGUUUGCUGCCGGAA
This is a ribosomal RNA of Danio rerio (zebrafish), 115 nucleotides long. The record is from Ensembl. NCBI's taxonomy places the organism in Eukaryota, Metazoa, Chordata, Actinopteri, Cypriniformes, Danionidae.